AUGGAAGGGUAUGGAACCCAGCCUUCUGGCCCCAAAUCACAGCUCUGGAAGGUCACCUUCAGAACUCCCUGCAAGGAUUGGCUGAAAUCUCUGAUGCAACGAUAUUGUGGUUCAGGCUUUCUCUGGACUGCUCUCCCUCCCCUCCCCAAGACCAAUCCCAGAUCAACCUCUGCCACUUGUCUCAGGUCUCAAGGCAUAAGUAGACUUUUGUUGAAUUCCAUCAAGUUAGAAGAUGAGGACAAUGCAGAAGGAGAGCAUGCGGUGAACACAGCUUGGACAACCUCGCGAGGAGCGUUGGGGCGGGCAUCGGUCCUCGGAGGAAGGUGCCAGAGCGCACGGGACACUAGGCAGACAUUAGCAGCAUCGAGAGCUCAGAGGCAUGGCUGGACCUUGGAAGGAUGUACCCUGUUGGCUGGUGGGUAA
Molecule: long non-coding RNA, 423 nt
Filed under: Vulpes vulpes (red fox)
Lineage: Eukaryota; Metazoa; Chordata; Mammalia; Carnivora; Canidae
Description: lncRNA (ENSVVUG00000013041.1)
Source: RNAcentral